UGCCAGCAGCCGCGGUAAUACGGAGGGUCCAAGCGUUAAUCGGAAUUACUGGGCGUAAAGCGCGCGUAGGCGGUUUGAUAAGUUGGAUGUGAAAGCCCGGGGCUCAACCUUGGAACUGCAUUCAAAACUGUCAGGCUAGAGUACGGUAGAGGGGGGUAGAAUUCCACGUGUAGCGGUGAAAUGCGUAGAGAUGUGGAGGAAUACCAGUGGCGAAGGCGGCCCCCUGGAUCGAUACUGACGCUGAGGUGCGAAAGCGUGGGGAGCAAACAGGAUUAGAUA
Molecule: ribosomal RNA, 279 nt
Filed under: uncultured bacterium
Lineage: Bacteria
Description: partial 16S ribosomal RNA
Rfam family: Bacterial small subunit ribosomal RNA
Source: RNAcentral